This 507-nucleotide ribosomal RNA is filed under the name uncultured bacterium. RNAcentral's name for it is "partial 16S ribosomal RNA". It matches the Rfam family "Bacterial small subunit ribosomal RNA", at positions 28 to 507 of the family's 1533-position model. The record is from RNAcentral.
GACGAACGCUGGCGGCGUGCCUAAUACAUGCAAGUCGAACGCAUUUUCUUUCACCGUAGCUUGCUACACCGAAAGAAAAUGAGUGGCGAACGGGUGAGUAACACGUGGGUAACCUGCCCAUCAGCGGGGAAUAACACUUGGAAACAGGUGCUAAUACCGCAUAAUUCCAUUUACCGCAUGGUAAAUGGAUGAAAGGCGCUUUUGCGUCACUGAUGGAUGGACCCGCGGUGCAUUAGCUAGUUGGUGGGGUAACGGCCUACCAAGGCUGCGAUGCAUAGCCGACCUGAGAGGGUGAUCGGCCACACUGGGACUGAGACACGGCCCAGACUCCUACGGGAGGCAGCAGUAGGGAAUCUUCGGCAAUGGACGCAAGUCUGACCGAGCAACGCCGCGUGAGUGAAGAAGGUUUUCGGAUCGUAAAACUCUGUUGUUAGAGAAGAACAAGGAUGAGAGUGGAAAGUUCAUCCCUUGACGGUAUCUAACCAGAAAGCCACGGCUAACUACGUG